AGCAGCUUGCUGCUUCGCUGACGAGUGGCGGACGGUGAGUAAUGUCUGGGAAACUGCCUGAUGGAGGGGGAUAACUACUGGAAACGGUAGCUAAUACCGCAUAACGUCGCAAGACCAAAGAGGGGGACCUUCGGGCCUCUUGCCAUCGGAUGUGCCCAGAUGGGAUUAGCUAGUAGGUGGGGUAACGCUCACCUAGGCGACGAUCCCUAGCUGGUCUGAGAGGAUGACCAGCCACACUGAACUGAGACACGGUCCAACUCCUACGGGAGGCACAGUGGGGAAUAUUGCACAAUGGGCGCAAGCCUGAUGCAGCCAUGCCGCGUGUAUGAAGAAGGCCUUCGGGUUGUAAAGUACUUUCAGCGGGGAGGAAGGGAGUAAA
RNAcentral lists this ribosomal RNA (379 nucleotides) under uncultured Escherichia sp. Its description in RNAcentral is "bacterial SSU rRNA". It matches the Rfam family "Bacterial small subunit ribosomal RNA", at positions 74 to 458 of the family's 1533-position model. The record is from RNAcentral. Lineage: Bacteria; Pseudomonadati; Pseudomonadota; Gammaproteobacteria; Enterobacterales; Enterobacteriaceae.